AUUGAACGCUGGCGGCAUGCCUUACACAUGCAAGUCGAGCGGCAGCGCGGGGGCAACCCUGGCGGCGAGCGGCGAACGGGUGAGUAAUACAUCGGAACGCGUCCUGUCGUGGGGGAUAACCAGGCUAAAGAUUGGCUAAUACGGCAUGACCUCGUAAGAGACAAGCGGGGGAUCGCAAGACCUCGCGCGGUUGGAGCGGCCGAUGUCGGAUUAGCUAGUUGGCGGGGUAAAAGCCCACCAAGCCGACGCUCCGUAGCUGGUUUGGGAGAACGACCAGCCACACUGGGACUGAGACACGGCCCAGGCUCCUACGGGAGGCAGCAGUGGGGAAUUUUGGACAAUGGGGGCAACCCUGUUCCAGCCAUGCCGCGUGUGUGAAGAAGGCCUUCGGGUUGUAAAGCACUUUCGGCCGGAACGAAAUCGCGCGGGUGAACAUCCCGAGUGGAUGACGGUACCGGAAGAAGAAGCACCGGCUAACUACGUGCCAGCCGCCGCCGUAA
Molecule: ribosomal RNA, 500 nt
Filed under: uncultured bacterium
Lineage: Bacteria
Description: partial 16S ribosomal RNA
Rfam family: Bacterial small subunit ribosomal RNA
Source: RNAcentral